This 332-nucleotide ribosomal RNA is filed under the name uncultured Gammaproteobacteria bacterium. Its description in RNAcentral is "bacterial SSU rRNA". It matches the Rfam family "Bacterial small subunit ribosomal RNA", at positions 812 to 1144 of the family's 1533-position model. The record is from RNAcentral. Lineage: Bacteria; Pseudomonadati; Pseudomonadota; Gammaproteobacteria.
UCUACUUGGAGGCUGUGGUCAUGAACCGUGGCUUCCGGAGCUAACGCGUUAAGUAGACCGCCUGGGGAGUACGGCCGCAAGGUUAAAACUCAAAUGAAUUGACGGGGGCCCGCACAAGCGGUGGAGCAUGUGGUUUAAUUCGAUGCAACGCGAAGAACCUUACCUGGUCUUGACAUCCACAGAAUUCUCCGGAGACGGAGAAGUGCCUUCGGGAACUGUGAGACAGGUGCUGCAUGGCUGUCGUCAGCUCGUGUUGUGAAAUGUUGGGUUAAGUCCCGCAACGAGCGCAACCCUUAUCCUUUGUUGCCAGCGAUUCGGUCGGGAACUCAAAG